GCUGGUUUACCAGUCCGAGUUGUAGUUUAAAGAAGCGUUUUCGGUGGCAGUCUCGGUAUAAAUCCUUUGGAAUAGGGUAUCAUAGAGGGUGAGAAUCCCGUCUUUGACUGAGAAUAUGCUACUAUGUGAUACGUUUUCAAAGAGUCGAGUUGUUUGGGAAUGCAGCUCAAAAUGGGUGGUAAAUUUCAUCUAAAGCUAAAUAUUGGCGAGAGACCGAUAGCGAACAAGUACCGUGAGGGAAAGAUGAAAAGAACUUUGAAAAGAGAGUUAAACAGUGCGUGAAAUUGUUGAAAGGGAAACGCUUGAAACCAGUCAUGCGGUUGGGAAAUCAGUCUCUGGCGAGGGGGAAUGGGGGAGGUGUGGACCGCAAGGCCGCUCUUUUCUAUAUUCUUUUCGUCAGGGAUGCACUUUUUCUUCUGCAGGUCAACAUCAGUUUGCUUUGCCGGACAAAACUCUUGGGAAGGUGACAGCUUAGGCUGUGUUAUAGCCCUUGAGCGAUACGGUGGAGUGGACUGAGGUUUUCGCAGCAUGUGCUCUCGGGCAAGGCUGAUUGGGUGCUAUGAGAUCGUUCAGGGUACAAUACAUGUAUUUUGCCUUGUGUCUUUUUUAUACUCGCUCAACUCGGCUCUUCCAUGCUUAGGAUGUUGACAUAAUGGUUUUAAUCGACCCGUCUUGAAACACGGACCAAGGAGUCUAACAUAUAUGCAAGUGUUUGGGUGGCAAACCCAUGCGCGUAAUGAAAGUGAACGUAGGUGCGAUCCGCAAGGUGCAGCAUCGACCGAUCUUGAUAUUUUUGGAUAGAUUUGAGUAAGAGCAUAUAUGCUGGGACCCGAAAGAUGGUGAACUAUGCCUGAAUAGGGUGAAGCCAGAGGAAACUCUGGUGGAGGCUCGUAGCGAUUCUGACGUGCAAAUCGAUCGUCAAAUUUGGGUAUAGGGGCGAAAGACUAAUCGAACCAUCUAGUGUGCC
Molecule: ribosomal RNA, 967 nt
Filed under: Mortierella pulchella
Lineage: Eukaryota; Fungi; Mortierellomycota; Mortierellomycetes; Mortierellales; Mortierellaceae
Description: partial large subunit ribosomal RNA
Rfam family: Eukaryotic large subunit ribosomal RNA
Source: RNAcentral